CCUACGGAUGGCUGCAGUGGGGAAUAUUGCACAAUGGGGGAAACCCUGAUGCAGCGACGCCGCGUGAGUGAGGCAGUAUUUCGGUAUGUAACGCUCUAUCAGCAGGGAAGAAAAUGACGGUACCUGACUAAGAAGCCCCGGCUAACUACGUGCCAGCAGCCGCGGGAAUACUUAGGGGGCAAGCGUUCUCCGGAUUUACUGGGUGUAAAGGGCACGUAGACGGCUAAUCAAGUCAGAAGUGAAAACCCAGGGCUCAACCUUGGGAGGGCUUUUGAAACUGAGUAGCUAGAGUGCAGGCGAGGUAAGCGGAAUUCCUAGUGUAGCGGUGAAAGGCGUAGAUAUUAGGAGGAACACCAGUGGCGAAGGCGGCUUACUGGACUGUAACUGACGUUGAGGCUCGAAAGCGUGGGGAGCAAACAGGAUUAGAUACCCGAGUAGUC
This 440-nucleotide ribosomal RNA is filed under the name uncultured bacterium. Its description in RNAcentral is "partial 16S ribosomal RNA". It matches the Rfam family "Bacterial small subunit ribosomal RNA", at positions 338 to 795 of the family's 1533-position model. The record is from RNAcentral.